ACCUGUUUUCCAGAGGCUUCACCCCCCGAUCCGGAACCCGAGCCCAUGCAGGUGGGAAGGUUCCGCCUCUCAUCGGAGGAGAGACGACGCCGUCGAACGGGGGGCUUGUGCAUGUACUGCGGGGUUGCUGGUCAUUAUGCGGCUUUAUGUCCGGCCAAGAACAAUAAAUCAUCCGCUGGCUCCUCCCGUUGAGAUCGCUGGUGGUGAGUGGUUUGGUUGAUUCCUUGUUGCUGUCUCUGAUGAGCCCUCUUCCUGCUACGCUGAGUGUUUUAUCUGCUCUGUUGAUGACUUCAUCGGAGACAUUGCUGUUUCUCUACGACAAAUGUUUGAUCUACUCUGUUGAUGAGUUUAUGAACAUUUAUCCGGCGUUGCCGAGACGGACCAUCUCUUUAAUUACUACUACAGUUUCCUCACUUCCAACCACUCACCAUUUUCCCUGUUUUGCUUAGUCAAGCAAUAAAGAUUUUUUUUACUUGCA
This is a non-coding RNA of Danio rerio (zebrafish), 478 nucleotides long. Lineage: Eukaryota; Metazoa; Chordata; Actinopteri; Cypriniformes; Danionidae. The record is from RefSeq and is a predicted model, not a curated record.